This 2456-nucleotide long non-coding RNA is filed under the name Nicotiana tabacum (common tobacco). Its description in RNAcentral is "long non-coding RNA (NTAB_LNC017191)". The record is from RNAcentral. Lineage: Eukaryota; Viridiplantae; Streptophyta; Magnoliopsida; Solanales; Solanaceae.
UAAAAUUAAUCUUCUACUACAUCAUACUGACCCCAUUAUACCAAAGUUUGUCUGCCAUAUGUUGCCUCUAUUAUCACUAAUCGGAAAAUACAAACAAAUUCAGUAAAAUCUUACCCAUGGAGACUGAAAGUAACGUGUACUCAAACCUUACCCCGCUCCCCGUUUAUAAAGUAGAUAGGUUGUUUCCAGACUCAAAAAGGACUUUGAGGUCAACAAAGCAUAUCAGAUAAAUAAAAAGGUAAUAAUAUUUUAUUCCAGAAUUUUAUGAUGCUCAAAGAAUAUUACAGUAACAAAAAGGUAGAAUUUUUUUCCUGCAAAGUGGAAAAGUUAGAUUCUUUAAUUCCUCCUUUUACAGCCUUUCAUCUAUUUUGCAUUUUCUCAUUGCAUCAAAAACUCCAUUUUUGAAGUUCCAAUACAGUAGAAAUAUCAAAUCAGGGUAACAAAAGAAAGGAAGCAAAAACAUGGAAAUCUUGAUCAAGAAAGUUCAUCUUUUAGUCUUUUUCCUUUCUUUAAACUUUUACAUGUCUCAAGAAGCACAAGCAGCAAAAAACUACUGUGGUAAUAUAAGAAUUGAAGAGCCAUUUGUUUCUCAAAACUCAACAAAUUCAUCUUUCUUGAAAAACAUGGUCUUUUGUAGAUCAGAGAUUUUAUACUAUAGAACUUCUGUUGGUCUUUUCCAAGUUUCAUCAAUUGAUUACAAAAAUAAAGUACUUACUGUUUCUCAUAGUUCUUGUUCUACUUCAUCUCAUUAUGUAUCUGCUAAAGAUUUAUCUUUUGGAUUUCCUCCUCCACCUAAGCCUAACUCAUUACUCUUAUUCAACUGCUUAAAUCCUAAGGGAAAUACAUCAAUUUUUCGAAAUUGUCCUUACUUGAAAAAUGAGAAAGGAAUUUCUUUGAAGUUGUGUAAAGAAGGUCUAAAACAAGGGUCUUUUUCUUGUUUGAUGGUUGAUGAUGUUCAAGAUUUGGGAAAUGAGUUUCAUCCUAAGGAUUUGAACUGUUCACAUUAUAGAAGAGUUUAUAAAAGCAAUUCUCAAGAUGGGAAUAGUGAGAAACUUGAGUUAGGGACAAGGAUAUCUUGGGAUAUUGAACAUGUACCAAAUCCUUGUGAUGAGUGUAGAAAACCUUAUGGUAAUUGUGGAGUUGGAUUGAGAUGCCUUUGCUAUGUAACUCAAUGUAGUAAGUUCUCUUAUCUCAUAACUCAGAAGCUUUUACACUAAAAGCUUUCUUUGUUUUCUCUUGUCAAAUCAUUGUCAUGGUUUGAGCCGUAGAAACAGCCUCUUGUAAAAAUAUAGGUAAGACUGUAUACAAUAGACCCAUGUGGUCCGGCCCUUCCUUAGACCUUGUGCAUAGCAGAAGCUUAGUGCACCGAUCAGUUCUUUCAUUGUCUUGAUUCUUAUUGUGGUGUUUUUUUUGUUUGCAGAGGUAGAGGUUUCUGCUGGUCUAAUUCCAAAACCUAGUGGUAUUGUGCUCUUCUCUUUGCUUUGCUUAAUUGUUGUGAUGGAUCUUCUUGAAGGGGUUUGAAUAUAAUUAAGCUCUUCCAUUUUAUGGAAAAAAACAAGAUGUAUUUAUUUUACUUUCAUUUUCAAAGAAUGAGAAUUUGUAUUGAAGAAUAUCUUUGGGGAUGUAUAUUGUACUAUAUGAUAUGAUGUUAUCAUCUUGUACUAAAAAGUGUGAAAGGGAGCGUUACGUAACUGGUAAAGUUGUUGUUACGUGAUCAGGAGGUCACGGGUUUGAGCCGUGGAAACAACCUCUUACAGAAAUGCAGGAUACUAUUGCGUACAAUAAACCCUUAUAAUAGUGUGGCUCUUUUUCGAUCCCGCGCAUAACGGGAGCUUAGUGCACUGGGCUAACCUUGUACUAAAAAGUGUGACGAAGAUUUGCUGGAUACUACUUUAUCAAUAUAUAUAUAUAUGUCUACUGAAAUUACUAGUGGUGUGUUGCCUUUUCCACUUAUUGUGUCUAAACUUUAUGAAUUGAGCAGGUUAUGGAACAUGUAGGGACAUUUACAGCCCUUUAGUGAAUGCAUUGUUGAAUUUAAGCUUUUCAUUAUGCUGUAAAGUCAUGUCAUUGUUUGCAAAAAGUUAAAUGAAUCCACAUUUUUUCUAGAAAUAUGCAUGUGGUAGGGAUCAAUUUUGCUUGUGAUUAUAGAAGAGAGUUGUCUUCUUGAGUGAGGUUGACAACUAGAGAAUUUGCUGAGAUAAAUACCAAAGGUUACAUUAGUUCAAAACAGUGGAAAUAUGAUGAAAUAUUCUUGUUUAGAAACUGGUUCUUUUAGGUUGAAUGACCAAGAGACUAUAAUUAUGUUUCAUAGUACUAGUAAUAGAAAGUUAAAAAAUGUAUGCAUUGACGGUGUAAAAUAUAUGAUAAAUUACUUAUAUGGGUAAAAUAUAUUGAUUAGUAGAAUGGUAACUACCCUGUGUAAUACGUUAAACUAGGCUAAUUGUGUAGAAAUUUUU